This 1437-nucleotide ribosomal RNA is filed under the name uncultured organism. Its description in RNAcentral is "16S ribosomal RNA". It matches the Rfam family "Bacterial small subunit ribosomal RNA". The record is from RNAcentral.
CAGGCUUAACACAUGCAAGUCGAGGGGCAGCAUGUUCUUAGCUUGCUAAGGCCGAUGGCGACCGGCGCACGGGUGAGUAACACGUAUCCAACCUGCCGUCUACUCUUGGACAGCCUUCUGAAAGGAAGAUUAAUACAAGAUGGCAUCAUGAGUCCGCAUGUUCACAUGAUUAAAGGUAUUCCGGUAGACGAUGGGGAUGCGUUCCAUUAGAUAGUAGGCGGGGUAACGGCCCACCUAGUCUUCGAUGGUUAGGGGUUCUGAGAGGAAGGUCCCCCACAUUGGAACUGAGACACGGUCCAAACUCCUACGGGAGGCAGCAGUGAGGAAUAUUGGUCAAUGGGCGAGAGCCUGAACCAGCCAAGUAGCGUGAAGGAUGACUGCCCUAUGGGUUGUAAACUUCUUUUAUAAAGGAAUAAAGUCGGGUAUGGAUACCCGUUUGCAUGUACUUUAUGAAUAAGGAUCGGCUAACUCCGUGCCAGCAGCCGCGGUAAUACGGAGGAUCCGAGCGUUAUCCGGAUUUAUUGGGUUUAAAGGGAGCGUAGAUGGAUGUUUAAGUCAGUUGUGAAAGUUUGCGGCUCAACCGUAAAAUUGCAGUUGAUACUGGAUAUCUUGAGUGCAGUUGAGGCAGGCGGAAUUCGUGGUGUAGCGGUGAAAUGCUUAGAUAUCACGAAGAACUCCGAUUGCGAAGGCAGCCUGCUAAGCUGCAACUGACAUUGAGGCUCGAAAGUGUGGGUAUCAAACAGGAUUAGAUACCCUGGUAGUCCACACGGUAAACGAUGAAUACUCGCUGUUUGCGAUAUACUGCAAGCGGCCAAGCGAAAGCGUUAAGUAUUCCACCUGGGGAGUACGCCGGCAACGGUGAAACUCAAAGGAAUUGACGGGGGCCCGCACAAGCGGAGGAACAUGUGGUUUAAUUCGAUGAUACGCGAGGAACCUUACCCGGGCUUAAAUUGCAGAUGAAUUACGGUGAAAGCCGUAAGCCGCAAGGCAUCUGUGAAGGUGCUGCAUGGUUGUCGUCAGCUCGUGCCGUGAGGUGUCGGCUUAAGUGCCAUAACGAGCGCAACCCUUGUUGUCAGUUACUAACAGGUUCCGCUGAGGACUCUGGCAAGACUGCCAUCGUAAGAUGUGAGGAAGGUGGGGAUGACGUCAAAUCAGCACGGCCCUUACGUCCGGGGCUACACACGUGUUACAAUGGGGGGUACAGAGGGCCGCUACCACGCGAGUGGAUGCCAAUCCCAAAAACCUCUCUCAGUUCGGACUGGAGUCUGCAACCCGACUCCACGAAGCUGGAUUCGCUAGUAAUCGCGCAUCAGCCACGGCGCGGUGAAUACGUUCCCGGGCCUUGUACACACCGCCCGUCAAGCCAUGGGAGCCGGGGGUACCUGAAGUGCGUAACCGCGAGGAGCGCCCUAGGGUAAAACUGGUGACUGGGGCUAA